GAUGAACGCUGGCGGCGUGCUUAAUACAUGCAAGUCGAGCGAGGACCAUUCGGUGGCAACACCGGGUGACUCCUAGCGGCGAACGGGUGAGUAACACGUGGGCAACCUGCCCCCGACUCU
This 120-nucleotide ribosomal RNA is filed under the name uncultured bacterium. RNAcentral describes it as "partial 16S ribosomal RNA". It matches the Rfam family "Bacterial small subunit ribosomal RNA", at positions 28 to 139 of the family's 1533-position model. The record is from RNAcentral.